This is a long non-coding RNA of Fukomys damarensis (Damara mole-rat), 1107 nucleotides long. Lineage: Eukaryota; Metazoa; Chordata; Mammalia; Rodentia; Bathyergidae. The record is from Ensembl.
CCCUAGUCAGCCCUGUACCUAGGCGCUGCCAGAGUCCAGUGGUGAUACCCUGCUGGGAAGCCUGCGAGCUGAACUUCCGUGGCACGGGCUUUGUGUAUUUUGUGUCCCAUUGGGUUCAUGGCCUGGGAUUCUCUAGGGGGAGUGUUCCCCGUGAGGCUUGCUUUUCUAGGGAAACGAAUGAGGGAACCCUUGGCGGCCCUGUGGGACACGCCAGCUAAUCCCUUCCACCAGCCUUGAAGGAUCCAUAGUUUGCGGGAUGUGUCUUGCAAAUGCGGCCUGUGAAAGUGAAGGGGCUGGCCUGUUGGCCGUCCUCAGGUGGUGGGAGGUGGCGUGUUGUAGCCUGAGGGCACGUGGUGAGCUGCUGUGGCCAGGCAGCUGGCGGGCAGGUUACAGGGGGGACGGGGGACAGGUUGCAGGUGGGAGGUUGCAGGUGGGAGGUGCAGUGAACUGGGCGGGGUCACUGCGAAGGUUUUGUCCCCUGAGUUGGUGAGCGGCGUGGAACCCCCACGUGGAAGCCAUAUCCGUGGAGGUGCUCUCCGCCCGGGGGAGGGAAUAGCCUCUUCCAGGGAGAAGCCCCAGAGGCAUCACAGGCAGGACCAGCAGAUAGCAGGCUUAGAGAGAAGUAGGGGCGACAGUGGAUCGAUGCAAUGGGUGCCCCUGUGUCCCUCACGUGUGGUGCUCUUUUUGUCUGUACUGCUCAGGGGCAGUUGCCGUGGCCGUCCCACCUUCUGCUGGGGCUUUGUGAUUCCUUGAUGCGGAAGCCACAUGAAAUUGCCGCCAGAGUUGUGCUCUGCCGCCGCCUGGGUCUGUGGAAGAUGGAAAAGUUGGCGAAUCGGGCGUGCCUUGAGCUGAGGGUUCCUGCUCCCGGAGGACUAGAGCAGCCAUGCAGUACUGCGAACCCUGUGUCCCCUUGUCGAGAUCCGGGCCUCUGGCCGUUGGAAGGUGAUUCCAGGGACCAAGAAGGAAGACUAGCAUGUCCUGAGAAUCCACAGAGGGGUCAGCACACCCUGGAACCCACAGGCAGAGGCUUCUGAAUGUUGAUGAAUGGCUGAUGAUGGUAAGUGGCUCUGUGCACUCACACUGAGAUUCUUAAUUUCUAGUUCUAGA